AACGAACGCUGGCGGCAGGCCUAACACAUGCAAGUCGAGCGCCCGGAUUUAUCCGGGAGCGGCGCACGGGUGAGUAACGCGUGGGAACAUGCCCUGAAGUACGGAAGAAGCUGGGGAAACCUUGGCUAAUACCGUAUACGCCCUGAGGGGGAAAGAUUUAUCGCUUUGGGAUUGGCCCGCGUUGGAUUAGCUGGUUGGUGUGGUAACGGCGCACCAAGGCGACGAUCCAUAAGUGGUCUGAGAGGAUGAGCAGUCACACUGGGACUGAGACACGGCCCAGACUCCUACGGUAGGCAGCAGUGGGGAAUAUUGGACAAUGGGCGAAAGCCUGAUCCAGCCAUGCCGCGUGAGUGAAGAAGGCCUUCGGGUUGUAAAGCUCUUUCAGCGGGGACGAUGAUGACGGUACCCGCAGAAGAAGCCCCGGCUAACUUCGUGCCAGCCGCCGCGGUAA
Molecule: ribosomal RNA, 451 nt
Filed under: uncultured bacterium
Lineage: Bacteria
Description: partial 16S ribosomal RNA
Rfam family: Bacterial small subunit ribosomal RNA
Source: RNAcentral